This 492-nucleotide ribosomal RNA is filed under the name uncultured bacterium. RNAcentral describes it as "partial 16S ribosomal RNA". It matches the Rfam family "Bacterial small subunit ribosomal RNA", at positions 29 to 507 of the family's 1533-position model. The record is from RNAcentral.
AGUGAACGCUGGCGGUAGGCCUAACACAUGCAAGUCGAACGGCAGCACAGUAAGAGCUUGCUCGUACGGGUGGCGAGUGGCGGACGGGUGAGGCAUACAUCGGAAUCUACUUUUUCGUGGGGGAUAACGUAGGGAAACUUACGCUAAUACCGCAUACGACAUACGGGUGAAAGCAGGGGAUCUUCGGACCUUUCGCGAUUGAAUGAGCCGAUGUCGGAUUAGCUAGUUGGUGGGGUAAAGGCCCACCAAGGCGACGAUCCGUAGCUGGUCUGAGAGGAUGAUCAGCCACACUGGAACUGAGACACGGCCCAGACUCCUACGGGAGGCAGCAGUGGGGAAUAUUGGACAAUGGGCGCAAGCCUGAUCCAGCAAUACCGCGUGGGUGAAGAAGGCCUUCGGGUUGUAAAGCCCUUUUGUUGGGAAAGAAAAGCAGCAGGUUAAUACCCCGCUGUUCUGACGGUACCCAAAGAAUAAGCACCGGCUAACUUCGUG